UGGCUCAGUGGUAGAGUGCUUGCCUCGCAUGCAUGAGGCUUUGGGUUCGAUUCCUCA
This 57-nucleotide transfer RNA is filed under the name Dipodomys ordii (Ord's kangaroo rat). It matches the Rfam family "tRNA", at positions 8 to 63 of the family's 71-position model. From Rfam's summary of the family: Transfer RNA (tRNA) molecules are approximately 80 nucleotides in length. Their secondary structure includes four short double-helical elements and three loops (D, anti-codon, and T loops). Lineage: Eukaryota; Metazoa; Chordata; Mammalia; Rodentia; Heteromyidae. The record is from Rfam by way of RNAcentral.